UAUAUAUAUAUAUAUAUAAAAUUGAACUCUUAUGUUUUUAAAAGUACCAAGUCAUUAAUACUUAGUAAAUUUUCGGCUUUUGGAUUAAGGAAUGUGCGGUUAAAAUAAUAUGGGCCCCUUAGGGUUGAGUGAGUGGUUGGUUGAAUAGUAUAGUCUAACGGUUAAAAAUGAUCAAAAGCGUAGAUCUAACGGUAAAAAAUUUACAAGCGUGCUUUGUACUUUUACAAGUACCGUAGCCAGACUCUCUCUCUCUCUCUCUCUCUCUCUCUCUCUCUCUCUCUCUCUCUAUAUAUAUAUAUAUAUAUAUAUAUCUAUCUAUCUAUCUAUAUAUAUACUAAUCUAUGAAUCCCCAAUAUGUUGCUGACAUGACGUUACCUCCUUCUUUCAAAACUGCUCGCUUUUAUCUCCCAACCUCCAAAACCCCUCAUCUUCAAAACCGUUCCCUCCUUAUCUCCCAAUAAAACUAUAAUUGAAUGUAUAUAAUUGCACCAAAACUAUUCUCUCACAUCUCCCAACCUCCAAAACCCCUCAUCUUCCAAAACCGUUCCCUCCUCAUCUCCCAAUAAAACCACAAUUGAAUGCAUGUACUUCAACAAAAUUUUGUUGUUAUAGAAGGUUUGAUUCCUUAUAGCUCUACUUCUA
Molecule: long non-coding RNA, 642 nt
Filed under: Ananas comosus (pineapple)
Lineage: Eukaryota; Viridiplantae; Streptophyta; Magnoliopsida; Poales; Bromeliaceae
Description: long non-coding RNA (ACOM_LNC010346)
Source: RNAcentral